AUGUUGAAAGCUUUUCUUUUUAAUUAUCUCCAUUAUUCCUUGUGUUCAACAUUGUACUGAAAGCUCUAGGCAAUGCACUAAGGCAAACAAAGGAAUUAAAAGGCAUAGGAAUUGGAAAGGAAGCAUUUAAACCAUCAUUCACAGAGACAAAGUGAAAAGACGCAGAUGUAUUUAAUUUUGAGGAAACAGUUUAUAGUCAUCAUAUGUCUCCAGUCACCACCAAGCACUGUUUGGUAGCAGUUGGUACUAGAGGACCCAAAGU
Non-coding RNA from Microcebus murinus (gray mouse lemur), 262 nucleotides. The record is from RefSeq and is a predicted model, not a curated record. NCBI's taxonomy places the organism in Eukaryota, Metazoa, Chordata, Mammalia, Primates, Cheirogaleidae.